RNAcentral lists this ribosomal RNA (497 nucleotides) under uncultured bacterium. RNAcentral's name for it is "partial 16S ribosomal RNA". It matches the Rfam family "Bacterial small subunit ribosomal RNA", at positions 28 to 507 of the family's 1533-position model. The record is from RNAcentral.
GAUGAACGCUGGCGGCGUGCCUAAUACAUGCAAGUCGAGCGAACAGACGAGGAGCUUGCUCCUCUGACGUUAGCGGCGGACGGGUGAGUAACACGUGGAUAACCUACCUAUAAGACUGGGAUAACUUCGGGAAACCGGAGCUAAUACCGGAUAAUAUAUUGAACCGCAUGGUUCAAUAGUGAAAUACGGUUUUGCUGUCACUUAUAGCUGGAUCCGCGCCGCAUUAGCUAGUUGGUAAGGUAACGGCUUACCAGGGCGACGAUGCGUAGCCGACCUGAGAGGGUGAUCGGCCACACUGGAACUGAGACACGGUCCAGACUCCUACGGGAGGCAGCAGUAGGGAAUCUUCCGCAAUGGGCGAAAGCCUGACGGAGCAACGCCGCGUGAGUGAUGAAGGUCUUCGGAUCGUAAAACUCUGUUAUUAGGGAAGAACAAAUGUGUAAGUAACUAUGCACGUCUUGACGGUACCUAAUCAGAAAGCCACGGCUAACUACGUG